RNAcentral lists this ribosomal RNA (305 nucleotides) under uncultured bacterium. RNAcentral describes it as "bacterial SSU rRNA". It matches the Rfam family "Bacterial small subunit ribosomal RNA", at positions 337 to 640 of the family's 1533-position model. The record is from RNAcentral.
GCCUACGGGGGGCAGCAGUGAGGAAUAUUGGUCAAUGGCCGGGAGGCUGAACCAGCCAAGUCGCGUGAGGGAAGACGGCCCUACGGGUUGUAAACCUCUUUUGUCAGGGAGCAAGGUGCAGGUCGGGACCUGCUGUGAGAGUACCUGAAGAAAAAGCAUCGGCUAACUCCGUGCCAGCAGCCGCGGUAAUACGGAGGAUGCGAGCGUUAUCCGGAUUUAUUGGGUUUAAAGGGUGCGUAGGCGGGAUGCCAAGUCAGCGGUCAAAUACGGGGGCUCAACCUGCGUCCGCCGUUGAAACUGGCGUU